UACGUAGGGCGCAAGCGUUGUCCGGAAUUAUUGGGCGUAAAGAGCUCGUAGGCGGCCUGUUGCGUCCGCUGUGAAAUCCCGGGGCUCAACCCCGGGCGGGCAGUGGAUACGGGCUGGCUGGAGGCAGGCAGGGGAGAACGGAAUUCCUGGUGUAGCGGUGAAAUGCGCAGAUAUCAGGAGGAACACCGGUGGCGAAGGCGGUUCUCUGGGCCUGUACUGACGCUGAGGAGCGAAAGCGUGGGGAGCGAACAGG
RNAcentral lists this ribosomal RNA (253 nucleotides) under uncultured bacterium. Its description in RNAcentral is "partial 16S ribosomal RNA". It matches the Rfam family "Bacterial small subunit ribosomal RNA", at positions 524 to 776 of the family's 1533-position model. The record is from RNAcentral.